Molecule: ribosomal RNA, 1454 nt
Filed under: Chokkirius truncatus
Lineage: Eukaryota; Metazoa; Arthropoda; Insecta; Coleoptera; Attelabidae
Description: SSU rRNA
Rfam family: Eukaryotic small subunit ribosomal RNA
Source: RNAcentral
ACUCCGACCGGAGACGGAGGAGUGCUUUUAUUAGAUCAAAACCAAUCGGUGGCGGGCUUGCUCGUCAUCGUACAACUUGGUGACUCUGAAUAACUUUAUGCUGAUCGCACGGUCUCGCACCGGCGACGCAUCUUUCAAAUGUCUGCCUUAUCAACUGUCGAUGGUAGGUUCUGCGCCUACCAUGGUUGUAACGGGUAACGGGGAAUCAGGGUUCGAUUCCGGAGAGGGAGCCUGAGAAACGGCUACCACAUCCAAGGAAGGCAGCAGGCGCGCAAAUUACCCACUCCCGGCACGGGGAGGUAGUGACGAAAAAUAACGAUACGGGACUCAUCCGAGGCCCCGUAAUCGGAAUGAGUACACUCUAAACCCUUUAACGAGGAUCAAUUGGAGGGCAAGUCUGGUGCCAGCAGCCGCGGUAAUUCCAGCUCCAAUAGCGUAUAUUAAAGUUGUUGCGGUUAAAAAGCUCGUAGUCGAAUCUGUGUCCCGCGCCGCCGGUUCAUCGUCCGCGGUGUCAACUGGCGUGUCGCGGGACGUCCUGCCGGUGGGCUUAGCUCGCAAGGGCGGCCCAACUCAAUCCUGCCGCGGUGCUCUUCACUGAGUGUCGAGGUGGGCCGGCACGUUUACUUUGAACAAAUUAGAGUGCUUAAAGCAGGCUAAAACUUCGCCUGAAUACUGUGUGCAUGGAAUAAUGGAAUAGGACCUCGGUUCUAUUUUGUUGGUUUUCGGAACCCCGAGGUAAUGAUUAAUAGGAACGGAUGGGGGCAUUCGUAUUGCGACGUUAGAGGUGAAAUUCUUGGAUCGUCGCAAGACGGACAGAAGCGAAAGCAUUUGCCAAAAACGCUUUCAUUGAUCAAGAACGAAAGUUAGAGGUUCGAAGGCGAUCAGAUACCGCCCUAGUUCUAACCAUAAACGAUGCCAGCUAGCGAUCCGUCGACGUUCCUCCGAUGACUCGACGGGCAGCUUCCGGGAAACCAAAGCUUUUGGGUUCCGGGGGAAGUAUGGUUGCAAAGCUGAAACUUAAAGGAAUUGACGGAAGGGCACCACCAGGAGUGGAGCCUGCGGCUUAAUUUGACUCAACACGGGAAACCUCACCAGGCCCGGACACCGGAAGGAUUGACAGAUUGAGAGCUCUUUCUUGAUUCGGUGGGUGGUGGUGCAUGGCCGUUCUUAGUUGGUGGAGCGAUUUGUCUGGUUAAUUCCGAUAACGAACGAGACUCUAGCCUGCUAACUAGGCGUAUUUUGACAUCGCAAAGGCCCGCCGGUAUUGGGGUUCGCCUCUUUAUCGCGCGCGGUUUUUACUGUCGGCGUACAAACAAUUCUUCUUAGAGGGACAGGCGGCUUCUAGCCGCACGAGAUUGAGCAAUAACAGGUCUGUGAUGCCCUUAGAUGUUCUGGGCCGCACGCGCGCUACACUGAAGGAAUCAGCGUGUCCUCCCUGGCCGAGAGGCCCGGUA